This is a long non-coding RNA of Haliotis rubra (blacklip abalone), 1949 nucleotides long. RefSeq lists it as uncharacterized. The transcript is spliced from 2 exons. The record is from RefSeq and is a predicted model, not a curated record. NCBI's taxonomy places the organism in Eukaryota, Metazoa, Mollusca, Gastropoda, Lepetellida, Haliotidae.
UGGUUCAUGCAAGUUGCAAAAAAACUGAUCAAACUAUUUUGAAUGUUUAGAAUUUAUAAAUUGUGCUGUAUGUUGCUCACUCAUGUGUAGACUAGGGCUGAGACACUGCUGUAUAGUAUGAUAACAUAAGCAUUGAGAUACCUGAUUCACUAUAGCAUGCAUACCACUAGAUAUUUUGUCAUAGCAUGGAGAAAGUUUAACCGGUUUUCUAAAGUAAAAAAAAGUUUUUCCAAAUUAUCCUUGAUGUACCAGUAAUUUAUACUCCCAUUCAAUAUAAAUACUGUGGACCCCUUGCUCCCAUAGGUUUGUUUUGAAAGUGACAUCAUGUCAGUGCUGCCUAACAGCUUUCAAAAGAAUUUCUGUCAUACCUAUGUACAUGUACUUUCAUUGGACAGCUAUUUAUCACAUUGUUUUGAUUGAAUCCAACUCCAAACGAAGGUUUGGUAUCAAGAUUGCCCAACGUAUUCAUUAUCAUAUGUAUGUGAUACAGACAUAUUGUCCAUCAGUAUGAUCGUAUGGAAAUUCACACAUGAUGUUUUACAGUGUGAUGUUUGGCAUCAAUGGAUACUUCCAGCCUUAUUGUUGAAUGUCUUUGACUGUUAGGUACUGGUCUGUCAGUGACAUAAUGACACAGUGUUACUGCUUCUAACUGCUACAAGUCUCAUGUUUGUCACAUAGAUACCUUCUGUUAUAUUUCCUUCAUCUUUAUUAAAUGAUUUGUUGAACGUGAAAACAUUUAUUUUAUAAGAAUGUUAAUUUCUUGAUGAAGAAUAUGUUGUUUGUGUGAAUGUGGAAAUGGCAAGUGAUCAAAGUUUAUGAUCGACUGAAACUCAGUAGUGUGAAAAUUAUCUUACAGAUAGAUACUUUCCUCAAAGUUAUUUAUGUCAUCCCAUAGUGGGUGACUGUAGAACUCCUGUAUAGUGGAGGAGAUUAUUGGAAAAGCAUGUGUUGGAGAUGUUAAUGGUCCUAUCCACAUGUUACACUUGACUUGCCUUGACGUCCUACAUUCAGCUGGAGGUGCUAUACCAUUGUUCUUCACAGCUGAGCAGGAUGUUCUAGUGUCACACAUCAACCAUCCUCGAUAAUCUCCAGGGUAUACGUUAUGAUAAAUCUCCACCAACGAAUCAAGGGUAUAACCUGGAGAUUAUUGAGGAUGCACAUCAACAUGUAUAUAAAGAAUACCGGACUAUCUCAGCCAUGUUCAGAUAUGUUGACAACUGUGUAAAGGACACAUUCUCUGUUUGUUUGAUGUACCAUGAGAAUGGUUUGUUAGUAUUCCAACAUUGUUAUAAGUCAGAAAACCCUGAAGGCCUUGGCCAAAGUGAGCUAUUACAACACUGAAACCAGUGAACAGUUGCAGUAUUCCAACCUUGUCCACCAUAGCAUCAUUUCUGUCAGGUUCCAGCUAGAUGAGCUCAGCAACAGUUCAACCAGGUGUGCCGUAGCCACACUCCUGGCAGAUGAGCUACAGCUUCAUCCUUGUCAUGUGUGCUAGAGUAUCAUUUACCCUCCUAAUUUAGGGAGGUAUAUUUUGUACGUAAAAUAGAGUCAACUGUAGAUUUAAUGAAAAGUAGACUUUAGAUGCAAAUAGGUUCAAAAUUGUAGAAAUAUUGCCAAUAUGUACUCCCGCAAUGGUUAUCAACAUAUCCCAUGUGAAUCGUUUUGUUGAAAAAAAAUCUGUUUGACUUUGGUAUGUUGGGAGCUGAGUGUAUUGUCUCAUGUGCUUUGCAUUUACUAACAAGGACAAGUUCUUAGUUUGUUGGUUAGUAUCUUGUAUAUUCACGAAUACCAGCUGAUUCAGAGUGCUACGUUUGUGACAGCAAUGUGAGCUGUACCUGCCCUGCUGUAUUACUUAUAUUGUUAUGUAUUUAUCAUGCUGCAGAACGCACUGUAGAUAUGCGACCCAGUAUCUGAGGCAAUGGUGAGAAAAUAAACAAUGUCAUAACUUA